GACGAACGCUGGCGGCGUGCUUAACACAUGCAAGUCGAACGCUGAAGCUCAGCUUUUGUUGGGUGGAUGAGUGGCGAACGGGUGAGUAACACGUGAGUAACCUGCCCCCUUCUUUGGGAUAACGCCCGGAAACGGGUGCUAAUACUGGAUAUUCACUGGUCUUCGCAUGGGGGUUGGUGGAAAGGGUUUUUCUGGUGGGGGAUGGGCUCGCGGCCUAUCAGCUUGUUGGUGGGGUGAUGGCCUACCAAGGCUUUGACGGGUAGCCGGGCUGGGAGGGUGACCGGUAACAUUGGGACUGAGAUCCGGCCCAGAAUCCUACGGGAGGCAGCAGGGGGGAAGAUUGCACAAUGGGCGCAAGCCUGAUGCAGCGCCGCCGAGGGAGGGAUGGAGGCCUUCGGGUUGUGAACCUCUUUCGCUCAUGGUCAAGCCGCAACAAUGGUUGUGGUGAGGGUAGUGGGUAAAGAAGCGCCGGCUAACUACGUG
Molecule: ribosomal RNA, 483 nt
Filed under: uncultured bacterium
Lineage: Bacteria
Description: partial 16S ribosomal RNA
Rfam family: Bacterial small subunit ribosomal RNA
Source: RNAcentral